GAGUGAAAUGAUGGUUACCAUCUUUCGGGUCUGACGCCUGAUGACCCCUUAUCCACGCUGAUCACUC
Small nucleolar RNA from Lethenteron reissneri (Far Eastern brook lamprey), 67 nucleotides. RefSeq annotates it as small nucleolar RNA SNORD2. Lineage: Eukaryota; Metazoa; Chordata; Hyperoartia; Petromyzontiformes; Petromyzontidae. The record is from RefSeq and is a predicted model, not a curated record.